AUAAAUACUAUGAAAAAGUAAAGUAACUUAAUGGAAAGCCACAGAGAGGAAACGGAGCUGAGAAGUUUCUGCUGAAAGUUAAUGUGAAGUGCACUUUGGAGUAGGAGUCUGAAAUUAGUAAGACUUCCCGGGAUCACCCGUUAUAGUGAUAAGGCAUUUAUUGAUGCCUAAAGAGUGGGAUAUCUAAUAUUCAAUUGGAGUGGAAACGCGGAGUAUACAUAGCUUCGUCUCUUAU
RNAcentral lists this non-coding RNA (235 nucleotides) under Clostridium amylolyticum. Its description in RNAcentral is "T-box sequence". It matches the Rfam family "T-box leader". From Rfam's summary of the family: Uncharged tRNA acts as the effector for transcription antitermination of genes in the T-box leader family. T-boxes are found upstream of many aminoacyl-tRNA synthetase genes and some amino acid biosynthetic genes usually in Gram-positive bacteria. The anticodon of a specific tRNA base pairs to a specifier sequence within the T-box motif, and the NCCA acceptor tail of the tRNA base pairs to a conserved bulge in the T-box antiterminator hairpin. The record is from RNAcentral. Lineage: Bacteria; Bacillati; Bacillota; Clostridia; Eubacteriales; Clostridiaceae.